This 299-nucleotide small nuclear RNA is filed under the name Camelus bactrianus (Bactrian camel). Its description in RNAcentral is "7SK RNA". It matches the Rfam family "7SK RNA". Rfam says of the family: 7SK was discovered as an abundant small nuclear RNA in the mid-70s but a possible function has only recently been suggested. Two independent studies have found that 7SK RNA binds the CDK9/cyclin T complex (known as elongation factor P-TEFb). RNAcentral also lists the same sequence under 1 other name. The record is from Rfam by way of RNAcentral. Lineage: Eukaryota; Metazoa; Chordata; Mammalia; Artiodactyla; Camelidae.
GGAUGUGAGGGCAGUCUGGCUGCGACAUCUGUCACCCCAUUGAUCACCAGGGUUGAUUUGGCUGAUCUGGCUGGCUAGGCGGGUGUCCCCUUCCUCCCUCACCGCUCCAUGUGCGUUCCUCCUGAAGCUGGGCGCUCGGUGGAAGAGGACGACCAACCCCGAAAAAGGAGGACCGUUCUGCUCAGUCAAAGGUAUAUGACUAGCUGCGCUCCCCUGCUAGAACCUCCAAACAAGCUCUCAAGAACCAGAAAACUUACCUAAUUUUUCUUUCUCUUUUAAGUUAUAUUUCUAUUCUACUU